This 875-nucleotide ribosomal RNA is filed under the name uncultured Pezizales. RNAcentral's name for it is "eukaryotic LSU rRNA". The stretch from base 216 to 369 matches the Rfam family "5.8S ribosomal RNA". Lineage: Eukaryota; Fungi; Ascomycota; Pezizomycetes; Pezizales. The record is from RNAcentral.
AAGUCGUAACAAGGUUUCCGUAGGUGAACCUGCGGAAGGAUCAUUAUCGUGUAAUAUAUCCAGUCAUGCUGCUGCGUGAGCUGUAUAAACCCACCCUGUGUACGCUGUCCUGUUGCUUCCGCCGUGCGCCUAAGGGCGCCCGGCGGAGGUUAAGUAAUAAACCCCGUGUUUUACUACGUAACCCGUCUGAAUGAAUAGGAACGAUGAAAUGUUAAAACUUUCAGCAACGGAUCUCUUGGUUCUCGCAUCGAUGAAGAACGCAGCGAAAUGCGAUAAGUAGUGUGAAUUGCAGAAUCUAGUGAAUCAUCGAAUCUUUGAACGCACAUUGCGCCUUCUGGUAUUCCGGGAGGCAUGCCUGUUCGAGAGUCAUUGACAACCGCUUCGAAGCCCCCCUUUCUCCACGUUCUCGAGGGGUCGGGGGGGGAUUCGUUUGUUGGUGGCGGAGGGAUGAGUUGCCUUGGCCUGCCCGCUAUGCCUGGCAAAUCUCCUCCCCACUGAAAUUCGGCGAUGGGCUUUCAUUUUAUAGGUGGUGGGAUUGAAGGCGAUAUAAAUGCUCCCCGGCCCCCCGGGUAGAUUGUGCCAAUCCCCUCAACUUCCGAGGUUCAGAGGCGGUCCUGUGUUAAUUGACCCACAUCAGGAUGGAUGACGUCUUCGUUUACGGCGAUGUGCGGAGGGUCUCCCCCAUCCUGGAGCCCCCAUGUACCCGUAACGAUUGGGUUAGCCGACAUGUUGCUUAUAGCUAUACUUCUGGCUUGUAGCAAUUCGGGACCACAGGACACUGGCCAGAGCUGAUCAGGAAGAACCUUGCGCCCCUGCCAUGUUAUUUUAAAUCAAAGGUUGACCUCGGAUCAGGUAGGGAUACCCGCUGAACUUAA